UGGAGCUUCAAGCACUACUGUUGAGAA
Molecule: non-coding RNA, 27 nt
Filed under: Homo sapiens (human)
Lineage: Eukaryota; Metazoa; Chordata; Mammalia; Primates; Hominidae
Source: RNAcentral